This 462-nucleotide ribosomal RNA is filed under the name uncultured bacterium. RNAcentral's name for it is "bacterial SSU rRNA". It matches the Rfam family "Bacterial small subunit ribosomal RNA", at positions 28 to 507 of the family's 1533-position model. The record is from RNAcentral.
GAUGAACGCUAGCGGCAGGCCUAACACAUGCAAGUCGAACGGUAAGGCCCUUCGGGGUACACGAGUGGCGAACGGGUGAGUAACACGUGGGUGAUCUGCCCUGCACUUCGGGAUAAGCUUGGGAAACUGGGUCUAAUACCGGAUAGGACCACGGUCUGCAUGGAUUGUGGUGGAAAGCUUUUGCGGUGUGGGAUGGGCCCGCGGCCUAUCAGCUUGUUGGUGGGGUGAUGGCCUACCAAGGCGACGACGGGUAGCCGGCCUGAGAGGGUGUCCGGCCACACUGGGACUGAGAUACGGCCCAGACUCCUACGGGAGGCAGCAGUGGGGAAUAUUGCACAAUGGGCGCAAGCCUGAUGCAGCGACGCCGCGUGGGGGAUGACGGCCUUCGGGUUGUAAACCUCUUUCAGCAUCGACGAAGCGCAAGUGACGGUAGAUGCAGAAGAAGCACCGGCCAACUACGUG